This 329-nucleotide unclassified non-coding RNA is filed under the name soil metagenome. RNAcentral describes it as "partial contains 5.8S ribosomal RNA, internal transcribed spacer 2, and large subunit ribosomal RNA". The stretch from base 1 to 120 matches the Rfam family "5.8S ribosomal RNA", at positions 35 to 154 of the family's 154-position model. The record is from RNAcentral.
GAUGAAGAACGCAGCGAAAUGCGAUAAGUAAUGUGAAUUGCAGAAUUCAGUGAAUCAUCGAAUCUUUGAACGCACAUUGCGCCCCCUGGCAUUCCGGGGGGCAUGCCUGUUCGAGCGUCAUUACAACCCUCAAGCUCUGCUUGGUAUUGGGCUCUGCUGGGACCGGCAGGCCUUAAAAUCAGUGGCGGCGCCACUCGGCUUCAAGCGUAGUAAUUCUUCUCGCUUCGGAGACCCGGGUGCGUGCUAGCCAGAAACCCCCAACUUUCUUAGGUUGACCUCGGAUCAGGUAGGGAUACCCGCUGAACUUAAGCAUAUCAAUAAGCGGAGGA